CUGCUUGCAUGAUUGAUAUGAUUAAUUAUUUAAUAUUAGAUGUUGUAUUUAUUCAUGUCAUAUGAUCCUAAUUAGGUAGUUUCUAGAUCAGAUCUAGAGCAUGCAAAUAGAUUAAAUUAUUUAAUCUGUAGUCUUCUACUAAAAAAAUUGAAAAUGCAUGCUUUGAACUGCCAAUUUUUCCUUCAUUUUAAAAGCCUGAAUUCGAUCUUUGAUCGGCGUAGAAACCAAUUCAAGACUCCUCACAUCACCCAAAAACCUCCUGGCCCAUCAAACGAUGACCGCAAGCCCCUAGCCGCCAU
This 299-nucleotide long non-coding RNA is filed under the name Elaeis guineensis (African oil palm). RNAcentral's name for it is "long non-coding RNA (EGUI_LNC054308)". The record is from RNAcentral. Lineage: Eukaryota; Viridiplantae; Streptophyta; Magnoliopsida; Arecales; Arecaceae.